AGUGAACGCUGGCGGUAGGCCUAACACAUGCAAGUCGAACGGCAGCACAGUAAGAGCUUGCUCUUACGGGUGGCGAGUGGCGGACGGGUGAGGAAUACAUCGGAAUCUACUUUUUCGUGGGGGAUAACGUAGGGAAACUUACGCUAAUACCGCAUACGACCUACGGGUGAAAGCAGGGGAUCUUCGGACCUUGCGCGAUUGAAUGAGCCGAUGUCGGAUUAGCUAGUUGGCGGGGUAGAGGCCCACCAAGGCGACGAUCCGUAGCUGGUCUGAGAGGAUGAUCAGCCACACUGGAACUGAGACACGGUCCAGACUCCUACGGGAGGCAGCAGUGGGGAAUAUUGGACAAUGGGCGCAAGCCUGAUCCAGCCCUACCGCGUGGGUGAAGAAGGCCUUCGGGUUGUAAAGCCCUUUUGUUGGGAAAGAAAAGCAGCAGGUUAAUACCCCGCUGUUCUGACGGUACCCAAAGAAUAAGCACCGGCUAACUUCGUG
This 492-nucleotide ribosomal RNA is filed under the name uncultured bacterium. RNAcentral's name for it is "partial 16S ribosomal RNA". It matches the Rfam family "Bacterial small subunit ribosomal RNA", at positions 29 to 507 of the family's 1533-position model. The record is from RNAcentral.